UACGGAGGGGGCUAGCGUUGUUCGGAAUCAUUGGGCGUAAAGGGCGCGUAGGCGGCCGAUCAAGUCGGAGGUGAAAUCCCUCGGCUCAACUGAGGAAUUGCCUUCGAUACUGGUCGGCUUGAGUCCUGGAGAGGGUAGCGGAAUUCCCGGUGUAGCGGUGAAAUGCGUAGAGACCGGGAAGAACACCUAUGGCGAAGGCAGCUCGCUGGGACGUUACUGACGCUGAGACGCGAAAGCGUGGGGAGCAAACAGG
This 253-nucleotide ribosomal RNA is filed under the name uncultured bacterium. RNAcentral's name for it is "partial 16S ribosomal RNA". It matches the Rfam family "Bacterial small subunit ribosomal RNA", at positions 524 to 776 of the family's 1533-position model. The record is from RNAcentral.